Non-coding RNA from Carica papaya (papaya), 977 nucleotides. The record is from RefSeq and is a predicted model, not a curated record. NCBI's taxonomy places the organism in Eukaryota, Viridiplantae, Streptophyta, Magnoliopsida, Brassicales, Caricaceae.
GCUCUGCCAUGCUUCUCAUUUGUAUGUUUAGCAAUAUUUGUUUUUUGUUAAAAGAAUUGUUCUAUUACUAUCAUUAUUGUUGUUUUUGUUGUUGUUUUCAGGAGAGAGCUCAUAAGUAUUACAGUGGAAUGACCAAGGAGCAAUUUAGGAAAAUGCAAGAAUUUAUAACAGGUCGAGGUUCAAAAAAACCUCCUUCCAAAUUAUAGGUAUUAAUUAGCUUGGCGCCGAGUACUCGAUCACAACGAUGAAGAACCUAGCAAUCACGCUCUUGUUUGCUAUUAUGAUGGUGUUGGUGACUCGGGAAGCCGAUGCACGCCUUGCUUCGAAAGAUUAUUACAAUGGUAAAAAUGCUAAUUACAAGGAUGAAAUUGAUAAUGACAGUGCUGAAGCUUCAAGAAAAAAACUAGUGGCAAGUACUGGAAAAACGAUGAAUACAUAUAGUUACGGUGUUGAUACAGUCGGUGAUGAUAGUAAUGACACGGGUGAAGGUUCUACUGGUGGAGACGGGAUGCGUCACCGCCAAUGGCGAACUGCGAAUCAACCCGAGGUCCCUAGCAAAGGUAAUAAAAGAUUAGUUACAAAUAAUAACUAACGGCGUAUGUAUGAACAUAUAUGCACUGUCUAAAACGAUAAUGGAUGAUGCGACUAUCUGUGUUUAUAUACAUAUAUAUCCAUAUAUAGAUAUAUAUGUAUGCAGGGGUGUGAAGCUUAAUUAUAAUAAACUGAAGGAGUGCUACUACAACAUGUUAAACGGACCAGGCAUGCAUGUAAACUAUGAUAUGGCCAGCCGACAUGUUUAGUUUCAAUUUGUGUUUUGAGGUAUUACUGUUCGAUCCGUAUGUAUGCAUGUUUCAUAUUUAUAUGUAUAUGUAUAUACGUAUACAUGAUCAUGCAGUAUUGGUUUAUGUUACGUGCUAUAUAUGUAAUUGGCACGUUCUUUUGAAAGAAUAAAACUCGUGUAUCUUAUUUAUGCUUGA